Elgaria multicarinata webbii is the source of this 1019-nucleotide long non-coding RNA. RefSeq lists it as uncharacterized. The transcript is spliced from 2 exons. The record is from RefSeq and is a predicted model, not a curated record. Lineage: Eukaryota; Metazoa; Chordata; Lepidosauria; Squamata; Anguidae.
GAUCCCUCCAUUUUCCUGGGAUAAUCCUUAGGGAUGGAGAGCCACUUACACAGCAGAUUUCUGUUGCAUUACAGUGGGAACAGGGCCUUAAAUCUGUGGGAAUGAAGACGUUGUGAAUUUGGUUUGGUUUGGUGACUUCAGUUGAAGUAUGCUUGCCUGUAGCAGCCAUUCAGAGGAAAGUUUUGAUCACCUCUCCUACAACGCAGCAAUGAGUGCAGCUAGUCUGGCUCGUUGACUCUGAUCAUGAUGUAUGCUCCUUCUCUGUCCCUCCCUCCCCCUUCUCUCUCUUUGCCCUUGGAAAGUUGCCUUUCCCUAACAGCUGUUCUCAGCUGUUAGGCCUCCAGCUUCAGAAAUGGAUUGCUCCCAAAAAGACACCCUUCCUCUCUCUGGGAUCCGGUGUGGUUAAUCAUUAUUAGGCACUUAGUGACACUCCAAAACUCCACUCCAUCACUGUCGGUCUCACUCCUGCGUGGACAGGCUUGCUAGCAAACCUCCUUGGAGGUGGUAAAAGAGCCAUGUAGGACACCGUAUCUGAUACUUUCCGAGACUAUUUGUUGCCCUGGUUGGCAUUGGUAAGAGCUUUGGUGCACUCCCAGGACAAGUACACAGAAGCUCAUGUUAUUUGCAUCAGAGUUGGGUCUGGCGUAGGCUACAAGCUACAGCAGGAAUUCACUGCUCACUGUUCAGGAAUGCAAAGUGGGUGACAUUGACUCAUUAAUCUGUGAGUUGUUGACGUUGGCUUGCAGCCCAGGCUGCCUGGACGGAGUUUACAGAUCUUGGGAAGCUUCACCUAAAGGGGCCGUUCAAGGGAGGAGGCCUCUGCUGCAUUUGGCAACGGCCUCACAGUGUUACACAUAGGACCUGGUGGGGAGUGUGGUUAAUAUCUCCACUGUAUUCGUCACUUUAGGAAAUGCAGAGAGAAUCCUAUUUUUCUAGCUUUAUUUUGCACUAGCUCUUGUGCAUUCUCAUUCAUCUGUAUUGAUCUACUUUGCAUGGAGGCAAUAGAGAUGACAUUAAAA